Molecule: ribosomal RNA, 497 nt
Filed under: uncultured bacterium
Lineage: Bacteria
Description: partial 16S ribosomal RNA
Rfam family: Bacterial small subunit ribosomal RNA
Source: RNAcentral
GAUGAACGCUGGCGGCGUGCCUAAUACAUGCAAGUCGAGCGAACAGAUAAGGAGCUUGCUCCUUUGACGUUAGCGGCGGACGGGUGAGUAAAACGUGGGUAACCUACCUAUAAGACUGGGAUAACUUCGGGAAAACGGAGCUAAUACCGGAUAAUAUUUCGAACCGCAUGGUUCGAUAGUGAAAGAUGGUUUUGCUAUCACUUAUAGAUGGACCCGCGCCGUAUUAGCUAGUUGGUAAGGUAACGGCUUACCAAGGCGACGAUACGUAGCCGACCUGAGAGGGUGAUCGGCCACACUGGAACUGAGACACGGUCCAGACUCCUACGGGAGGCAGCAGUAGGGAAUCUUCCGCAAUGGGCGAAAGCCUGACGGAGCAACGCCGCGUGAGUGAUGAAGGUCUUCGGAUCGUAAAACUCUGUUAUUAGGGAAGAACAUACGUGUAAGUAACUGUGCACGUCUUGACGGUACCUAAUCAGAAAGCCACGGCUAACUACGUG